AGAGUUUGAUCAUGGCUCAGAACGUACGCUGGCGGCACGCCUAACACAUGCAAGUCGAACGAAGUAGCAAUACUUAGUGGCAGACGGGUGAGUAACAUGUAGGUAUCUGCCCUUUGGCCUGGAAUAACACGAGGAAACUUGUGCUAAUACCGGAUAAGUCCUUACGGAGAAAGCUUUAUGCACCAAUGGAUGAGCCUGCACUUGAUUAGUUUGUUGGUGGGGUAAUGGCCUACCAAGACUGUGAUCAAUAGCUGAUUUGAGAGGAUGAUCAGCCACAUUGGGACUGAGACACGGCCCAAACUCCUACGGGAGGCAGCAGUGGGGAAUCUUGCACAAUGGAGGAAACUCUGAUGCAGCGAUGCCGCGUGAGUGAAGAAGGCCUUUGGGUUGUAAAGCUCUUUCGUCGGGGAAGAAAAUGACUGUACCCGAAUAAGAAGGUCCGGCUAACUUCGUGCCAGCAGCCGCGGUAAUACGAAGGGACCUAGCGUAGUUCGGAAUUACUGGGCUUAAAGAGUUCGUAGGUGGUUGAAAUAGUUGGUGGUGAAAUCCCAGAGCUUAACUCUGGAACUGCCAUCAAAACUUUUCAGCUAGAGUAUGAUAGAGGAAAGCAGAAUUUCUAGUGUAGAGGUGAAAUUCGUAGAUAUUAGAAAGAAUACCAAUUGCGAAGGCAGCUUUCUGGAUCAUUACUGACGCUGAGGAACGAAAGCAUGGGUAGCGAAGAGGAUUAGAUACCCUCGUAGUCCAUGCCGUAAACGAUGUGUGUUAGACGUUGGAAAUUUAUUUUCAGUGUCGCAGCGAAAGCGAUAAACACACCGCCUGGGGAGUACGACCGCAAGGUUAAAACUCAAAUGAAUUGACGGGGACCCGCACAAGUAGUGGAGCAUGUGGUUUAAUUCGAAGAUACGCGCAGAACCUUACCAACACUUGACAUGUUCGUCGCGACUCUGAGAGAUUAGAGUUUUCGGUUCGGCCGGACGAAACACAGGUGCUGCAUGGCUGUCGUCAGCUCGUGUCGUGAGAUGUUGGGUUAAGUCCCGCAACGAGCGCAACCCUCACUUUUAGUUGCCAUCAUUUAGUUGGGCACUCUGAAAGAACUGCCAGUGAUAAGCUGGAGGAAGGUGGGGAUGACGUCAAGUCCUCAUGGCCCUUACGUGUUGGGCUACACACGUGCUACAAUGGUAUCUACAACAGGAAGCAAAACUGCGAAGUUAAGCAAAUCCUUAAAAGAUACCUCAGUUCGGAUUGCACUCUGCAACUCGAGUGCAUGAAGCUGGAAUUACUAGUAAUCGUGGAUCAGCGUGCCACGGUGAAUGCGUUCCCGGGUCUUGUACACACCGCCCGUCACACCAUGGGAGUUGGUUCUACCUUAAGGCAAGGUUUAAAACCCUUGACCACGGUAUAGUCAGCGACUGGGGUGAAGUCAUAACAAGGUAACCGUA
RNAcentral lists this ribosomal RNA (1439 nucleotides) under uncultured bacterium. RNAcentral's name for it is "bacterial SSU rRNA". It matches the Rfam family "Bacterial small subunit ribosomal RNA". The record is from RNAcentral.